CACUGACAUUAGAUACCCCUGUAGUCCCAGCCGUAAACUAUGCGCGUUAGGUGUACUGGUGACCACGAGUCACCGGGGUGCCGAAGGGAAACCGUGAAACGUGCCGCCUGGGAAGUACGGUCGCAAGGCUGAAACUUAAGGGAAUUGGCGGGGAGCACCACAACGGGUGGAGCCUGCGGUUUAAUUGGACUCAACGCCGGAAAUCUCACCGGAUAGGACAGACAUAUGAUAGUCGGGCUGAAGACUCUACUUGAUGAUCUG
This 261-nucleotide ribosomal RNA is filed under the name uncultured archaeon. RNAcentral describes it as "partial 16S ribosomal RNA". It matches the Rfam family "Archaeal small subunit ribosomal RNA", at positions 721 to 982 of the family's 1478-position model. The record is from RNAcentral.